AGCUUUGCGCGGUGGCAGUGUCUUAGCCAAUGAGGUGUAUCUGAGGAGCGAUUACUGCUAAUUGAAAAACAGGAAAGCAACGGGAAAGUCAACUACCUUUUUACUAUUUGUUAUUAUUAUAUGCUUUGGAUA
RNAcentral lists this small nuclear RNA (132 nucleotides) under Chinchilla lanigera (long-tailed chinchilla). RNAcentral describes it as "U4 spliceosomal RNA (ENSCLAG00000020624.1)". It matches the Rfam family "U4 spliceosomal RNA". Rfam says of the family: U4 small nuclear RNA (U4 snRNA) is a component of the major U2-dependent spliceosome. The structure of U4 snRNA from yeast and human has been reported. U4 snRNA presents a k-turn RNA motif in the 5p-SL related to recognition of Snu13 protein. The record is from Rfam by way of RNAcentral. Lineage: Eukaryota; Metazoa; Chordata; Mammalia; Rodentia; Chinchillidae.